GGUAAAAAAGCUCGUAGUUGGAUUUCUGUUGAGGACGACCGGUCCAUACAACGUAUGCGCAUCUGGUUCGGCCUCGGCAUCCUCUCGAAAGACGUUUCUGCGCUUGAUUGCGUGGAGCGGAUCUCGGGACUUUUACUUUGAGGAAAUUAGAGUGUUCACGGCAGGCUAUCGCCAGAAUACAUUAGCAUGGAAUAAUACUAUAGGAUCUUGAUUCUAUUUUGUUGGUUUCUAGAAUUGAGAUAAUGAUUAAUAGGGACAAUUGGGGGCAUUCGUAUCAACACGUCAGAGGUGGAAUUCUUGGAUUGUGUUGCGACGAACUACUGCGAAAGCAUUUGCCAAGGAUGUUUUCAUUGAUCAAGAACGAAAGUAAGGGGAUCGAAGACGAUUAGAUACCGUCGUAGUCUUUACCAUAAACUAUGCCAACUAGAGAUGGGGCAUCGUUCACUUACGACUUGCUCCGCACCUUAUGAGAUAUCAAAGUCUUUGGGUUCCGGGGGGAGUAUGGUCGCAAGGCUGAAACUUAAAGGAAUUGACGGAAGGGCACCACCAGGAGUGGAGCCUGCGGCUUAAUUUGACUCAACACGGGGAAACUCACCAGGUCCAGACAUAAUAAGGAUUGACAGAUUGAUAGCUCUUUCUUGAUUUUAUGGGUGGUGGUGCAUGGCCGUUCUUAGUUCGUGGAGUGAUUUGUCUGCUUAAUUGCGUUAAC
Molecule: ribosomal RNA, 709 nt
Filed under: uncultured marine alveolate
Lineage: Eukaryota
Description: SSU rRNA
Rfam family: Eukaryotic small subunit ribosomal RNA
Source: RNAcentral